GACGAACGCUGGCGGCGUGCUUAACACAUGCAAGUCGAACGGAAAGGCCCCUUUGGGGGUCCUCGAGUGGCGAACGGGUGAGUAACACGUGAGUAACCUGCCCUUGACUUCGGGAUAACUUCAGGAAACUGGGGCUAAUACCGGAUAGGAAUCCUUGCUGCAUGGUGGGGGUUGGAAAGCUUCGGCGGUUUUGGAUGGACUCGCGGCUUAUCAGCUUGUUGGUGGGGUAGUGGCUUACCAAGGCUUUGACGGGUAGCCGGCCUGAGAGGGCGACCGGCCACAUUGGGACUGAGAUACGGCCCAUACUCCUACGGGAGGCAGCAGUGGGGAAUAUUGCACAAUGGGCGGAAGCCUGAUGCAGCAACGCCGCGUGCAGGAUGACGGCCUUCGGGUUGUAAACCGCUUUCAGCAGGGGCGAAGCUUGUGGUGACGGUACCUGCAGAAGAAGCACCGGCUAACUACGUG
RNAcentral lists this ribosomal RNA (465 nucleotides) under uncultured bacterium. RNAcentral describes it as "partial 16S ribosomal RNA". It matches the Rfam family "Bacterial small subunit ribosomal RNA", at positions 28 to 507 of the family's 1533-position model. The record is from RNAcentral.